AACGUAGGAGACAAACGUUAUCCGGAGUUACUGGGCGUAAAGGGCGUGUAGGUGGUUACGUAAGUCUGGCGUGAAAUAUCUCGGCUUAACCGAGGCAGGUCGUCGGAUACUGCGUGACUUGAGGACGGUAGAGGCGUGUGGAAUUCCGGGUGUAGUGGUGAAAUGCGUAGAGAUCCGGAGGAACACCAGUGGCGAAGGCGACACGCUGGGCCGUACCUGACACUGAUGCGCGACAGCAUGGGGAGCAAACAGG
Molecule: ribosomal RNA, 253 nt
Filed under: uncultured bacterium
Lineage: Bacteria
Description: partial 16S ribosomal RNA
Rfam family: Bacterial small subunit ribosomal RNA
Source: RNAcentral